UAGGGAAUCUUCGGCAAUGGACGAAAGUCUGACCGAGCAACGCCGCGUGAGUGAAGAAGGUUUUCGGAUCGUAAAACUCUGUUGUUAGAGAAGAACAAGGACGUUAGUAACUGAACGUCCCCUGACGGUAUCUAACCAGAAAGCCACGGCUAACUACGUGCCAGCAGCCGCGGUAAUACGUAGGUGGCAAGAGUUGUCCGGAUUUAUUGGGCGUAAAGCGAGCGCAGGCGGUUUCUUAAGUCUGAUGUGAAAGCCCCCGGCUCAACCGGGGAGGGUCAUUGGAAACUGGGCGACUUGAGUGCAGAAGAGGAGAGUGGAAUUCCAUGUGUAGCGGUGAAAUGCGUAGAUAUAUGGAGGAACACCAGUGGCGAAGGCGGCUCUCUGGUCUGUAACUGACGCUGAGGCUCGAAAGCGUGGGGAGCAAACAGG
RNAcentral lists this ribosomal RNA (429 nucleotides) under Gemmatimonadota bacterium. RNAcentral's name for it is "Gemmatimonadetes bacterium partial 16S ribosomal RNA". It matches the Rfam family "Bacterial small subunit ribosomal RNA", at positions 355 to 776 of the family's 1533-position model. The record is from RNAcentral. Lineage: Bacteria; Pseudomonadati; Gemmatimonadota.